GAUGAACGCUGACAGAAUGCUUAACACAUGCAAGUCUACUUGAACUUCGGUUUGGGUGGCGGACGGGUGAGUAACGCGUAAAGAACUUGCCUCACAGUUAGGGACAACAUUUGGAAACGAAUGCUAAUACCUGAUAUUAUGAUUUUAGGGCAUCCUAAGAUUAUGAAAGCUAUAUGUGCUGUGAGAGAGCUUUGCGUCCCAUUAGCUAGUUGGAGAGGUAACGGCUCACCAAGGCGAUGAUGGGUAGCCGGCCUGAGAGGGUGAACGGCCACAAGGGGACUGAGACACGGCCCUUACUCCUACGGGAGGCAGCAGUGGGGAAUAUUGGACAAUGGACCAAAAGUCUGAUCCAGCAAUUCUGUGUGCACGAUGACGUUUUUC
Molecule: ribosomal RNA, 381 nt
Filed under: uncultured bacterium
Lineage: Bacteria
Description: bacterial SSU rRNA
Rfam family: Bacterial small subunit ribosomal RNA
Source: RNAcentral